RNAcentral lists this long non-coding RNA (414 nucleotides) under Glycine max (soybean). Its description in RNAcentral is "long non-coding RNA (GMAX_LNC001310)". Lineage: Eukaryota; Viridiplantae; Streptophyta; Magnoliopsida; Fabales; Fabaceae. The record is from RNAcentral.
UUCAUAUCAUGUUUGCAAGAGACAGUUGUCACAUGAAGUGGAAGAGUGCAUUCUGUCAUUUAGUUGAAGAAAAUGACAGUAACUUUUUAAUUCCAAGGUAUUGAUUUUCUUUGAGAGUAACUUUUUAAUUCCAAGGUAAUGCAUUUCUUGGAUUUGGUACCAUAAUCUUUGGGGCAUUAUUCAAUGACAAACUUGUCGUAAUUUUCACCCCAGCCUAUCUGAAUUGGCUAUCAAGGUUAAUGUCUGAUAAGACUAUGCAGGAUAUGUCACAAACUUUGUGCAAGCAUGUCAAUCAAGAGAGUGAAUGCAUUUGCUGCUAACAAUUAUAACAACCUUGUCUGUUAAUUGCCAUUUUGUUGAAAGGCUUGUUAUGCGCCAUUUUCUAAAGAUUAAGGAUGGAAAUCAAUUAGACGC